This 28-nucleotide small RNA is filed under the name Bombyx mori (domestic silkworm). Its description in RNAcentral is "ovarian small RNA-3575". Lineage: Eukaryota; Metazoa; Arthropoda; Insecta; Lepidoptera; Bombycidae. The record is from RNAcentral.
UGACAAAGUUGGCGGUACUACCGUUGUC